This is a long non-coding RNA of Asparagus officinalis (garden asparagus), 205 nucleotides long. RefSeq lists it as uncharacterized. The record is from RefSeq and is a predicted model, not a curated record. The transcript has 3 exons. NCBI's taxonomy places the organism in Eukaryota, Viridiplantae, Streptophyta, Magnoliopsida, Asparagales, Asparagaceae.
UAUCGAUUCCCGGCAUAUCUAGCUUACCUCGGAGUGACGGACUUGCAGGACCAGCCACCGGGACUGAUACUCUUAUGACUCCUGGCAUCCCCCGGAUACCUGAGGAUGAUGGACCUACAGGACCAGCCGUUGUGCCUGAUGCUACUACAGUUUCUGGGACUGAUAGUUUGCCUAAGAGCGGUGUUUCCCCGCCACAGCCGAGAGG